GCCGGGAACUCAAAGGAGACUGCCAGUGAUAAACUGGAGGAAGGUGGGGAUGACGUCAAGUCAUCAUGGCCCUUACGAGUAGGGCUACACACGUGCUACAAUGGCAUAUACAAAGAGAAGCGACCUCGCGAGAGCAAGCGGACCUCAUAAAGUAUGUCGUAGUCCGGAUUGGAGUCUGCAACUCGACUCCCUGAAGUCGGAAUCGCUCGUAAUCGUGGAUCAGAAUGCCACGGUGAAUACGUUCCCGGGCCUUGUACACACCGCCCGUCACACCAUGGGAGUGGGUUGCAAAAGAAGUAGGUAGCUUAACCUUCGGGAGGGCGCUUACCACUUUGUGAUUCAU
This 343-nucleotide ribosomal RNA is filed under the name Citrobacter sp. A325. RNAcentral describes it as "bacterial SSU rRNA". It matches the Rfam family "Bacterial small subunit ribosomal RNA", at positions 1130 to 1472 of the family's 1533-position model. Lineage: Bacteria; Pseudomonadati; Pseudomonadota; Gammaproteobacteria; Enterobacterales; Enterobacteriaceae. The record is from RNAcentral.